GUUUACAGUUUCAAAUUACUACAUCCACAAAAUAUAUACCAAACUAUCCAUAUAUACAUCUCAAAUUCACUUUUCAAUAUAAAUUACUACUAUAUCUGAGUACAGUACUCUGGUUUCUAAUCCAAAUUUCCCAACCUCCAAUAGCUAGCUAACCUUCUGUACCAAUUCAUUUUUCUCCUUCAGUUAGUCACCACAAUAGCUAGCUAAUCUUGAGUCUUGUAAUCUACAUUUAAACCAAAAGUAAGGGGUAAAAAAAGGCCAGGUGCUAAAAGUUGGCAAAACUUUAGAAUUUUUUUUUUAUACAAUUCAGCAGAAGAAUGUGCAACACACCUGGAGUUCCCAGUUUGGCAUUGCCAUAUUGACUUCCAAAAUCCUGCUUUCUU
This 383-nucleotide long non-coding RNA is filed under the name Panax ginseng (ginseng). RNAcentral describes it as "long non-coding RNA (PGIN_LNC006923)". Lineage: Eukaryota; Viridiplantae; Streptophyta; Magnoliopsida; Apiales; Araliaceae. The record is from RNAcentral.